Molecule: ribosomal RNA, 468 nt
Filed under: uncultured bacterium
Lineage: Bacteria
Description: partial 16S ribosomal RNA
Rfam family: Bacterial small subunit ribosomal RNA
Source: RNAcentral
GACGAACGCUGGCGGCGUGCUUAACACAUGCAAGUCGAGCGGACAGACCCUGCGUUUGUUCGUUUGUCGUUUGGCGCGCGGGUGUGUGAAACAUGAGUAACCUGCCCUUAACUGUGGGGUAAAUUCAGGGGAAUGGGGCGAAUACCGGGUAGAAGAUCCUGAUCCGUAGGGUGGAUUGGUAAAAUUCGGCGGUGGGGGAUGGAAUAGCGGCGUAUCAGCUUGUUGGGGGGGUAGUGGAUUAACAAGGCUUUGACGGGAAGCCGGCCUGAGAGGGUGACCGGAAACAUGGGGAAUGAGAGACGGCCCAGACGCCUACGGGAGGCAGCAGGGGGGAAUAUUGCACAAUGGGCGGAAGCCUGAUGCAGCAACGCCGCGGGCGGGAUGACGGACUUCGGGUUGUAAACCGCUUGCGCCUGUGACGAAGCGUGAGUGACGGUAAUGGGUAAAGAAGCACCGGCUAACUACGUG